RNAcentral lists this long non-coding RNA (796 nucleotides) under Mytilus galloprovincialis (Mediterranean mussel). Lineage: Eukaryota; Metazoa; Mollusca; Bivalvia; Mytilida; Mytilidae. The record is from RNAcentral.
UGAAAAAUAGUUAAUUUAACCCCGAAAAAGGAUAAAAGUCAAAUAUGCUGAAUUUAGGGUGUUUUUAGAUCGAAAAAACAGGGAAUCCCCCGAGAAGGACAAAGUUAUGUUUUUUGUCAUUGUUGUAAUUUUUACAACUUUUUCCCUCAAAAAUGAAAUUAGUUUAGUGGGUCCUUAAUACCUAAAAACAAAGUGAAACAUCACUAAAUUGUACCCAUAUAUAUGCUUAAUAACAGAAGAAUGUCCAAGCGUCGCCGUGGUUCCAACGGUAGAGCAUGGAACUGUAUCAGAAAGCUUAUUUUGAAUAGAGGGUAAUAAUCUCACACAGAUAUUUUGCAUUUUUUGUGUUGAAAUAUUAAAUUUUAAUGUUUCUAUCAUAUUUUUUCGGAUGUUUGCUAAAUUCGUAGAGUCAUGAUGGAUCAUUUGACCGUUUAUCAUUUCAUUAAAGAAAAACAAAUACUUUGUCGUUUAUUGUGUGCAUUCUUAUAACUACCCAUACUAUUGACUUACUUCCUAUUCCUGUGUUUUCAUUUAUUAUAUAUUUGCAAGGAACAAUUGCCGUCAAACUAGAGUAGUUGCUUGUAAAUAAACAAUAACACGAGAAUUGAUACUAUAGCAAUGACGCCCAAAUGUUGCGUGUGUAACCCGUAUGUAAUAAGUAUUAGGAUGCCACCCAGACACUAGUAGGAAUGAAGUAGGAAUCUACCGAGAAUCAAAGAUUCCAUAUAGAAAGUAGACGGUCAGGGAAAAUGAACAUAAUUCUGACUGGAUUUUUUUGAUAUUCCUACUACCAAAA